CCCUUAGAUGUUCUGGGCCGCACGCGUGCUACACUGAGUGGAUCAGCGGGUCAGGUUGCGCGAAAGCGUUUCCUAAUCUUUAAAUCCGCUCGUGAUGGGGAUUGACGGUUGCAAUUUUCUGUCAUGAACGAGGAAUACCUUGUAAGCGCGGGUCAUCAUCCCGCGCUGAAUACGUCCCUGCCCUUUGUACACACCGCCCGUCGCUCCUACCGAUUGAGUGGUCCGGUGAGGCUUUGGGAUCUGAGCGGAAAGAGCGUUUCGCUGUUGCUGCUCGGAAAACUCAGUCGAACCUUAUCAUUUAGAGGAAGGAGAAGUCGUAACA
Molecule: ribosomal RNA, 322 nt
Filed under: uncultured eukaryote
Lineage: Eukaryota
Description: partial 18S ribosomal RNA
Rfam family: Eukaryotic small subunit ribosomal RNA
Source: RNAcentral